GAUGAACGCUGGCGGCGUGCUUAACACAUGCAAGUCGAACGAUGAAGCCCAGCUUGCUGGGUGGAUUAGUGGCGAACGGGUGAGUAACACGUGAGUAACCUGCCCUUGACUCUGGGAUAAGCCUGGGAAACUGGGUCUAAUACUGGAUAUGACUUCUCAUCGCAUGGUGGGGGGUGGAAAGAUGUAUUGGUCUUGGAUGGACUCGCGGCCUAUCAGCUUGUUGGUGAGGUAAUGGCUCACCAAGGCGACGACGGGUAGCCGGCCUGAGAGGGUGACCGGCCACACUGGGACUGAGACACGGCCCAGACUCCUACGGGAGGCAGCAGUGGGGAAUAUUGCACAAUGGGCGCAAGCCUGAUGCAGCGACGCCGCGUGAGGGAUGACGGCCUUCGGGUUGUAAACCUCUUUCAGUAGGGAAGAAGCGAGAGUGACGGUACCUGCAGAAGAAGCGCCGGCUAACUACGUG
Molecule: ribosomal RNA, 466 nt
Filed under: uncultured bacterium
Lineage: Bacteria
Description: partial 16S ribosomal RNA
Rfam family: Bacterial small subunit ribosomal RNA
Source: RNAcentral